This 73-nucleotide transfer RNA is filed under the name Elusimicrobiota bacterium. RNAcentral describes it as "Elusimicrobia bacterium (hot springs metagenome) tRNA-Ala". It matches the Rfam family "tRNA". Rfam says of the family: Transfer RNA (tRNA) molecules are approximately 80 nucleotides in length. Their secondary structure includes four short double-helical elements and three loops (D, anti-codon, and T loops). The record is from RNAcentral. Lineage: Bacteria; Pseudomonadati; Elusimicrobiota.
GGGCCUGUAGCUCAGCUGGGAGAGCGCCUCGUUCGCAACGAGGAGGUCGUGGGUUCGAAUCCCAUCAGGUCCA